CAAGAAGUCUGACGUGGAAGCAAUCUUUU
Molecule: non-coding RNA, 29 nt
Filed under: Cricetulus griseus (Chinese hamster)
Lineage: Eukaryota; Metazoa; Chordata; Mammalia; Rodentia; Cricetidae
Source: RNAcentral